Molecule: transfer RNA, 75 nt
Filed under: Camelus bactrianus (Bactrian camel)
Lineage: Eukaryota; Metazoa; Chordata; Mammalia; Artiodactyla; Camelidae
Also listed under: 1 other name
Rfam family: tRNA
About the family: Transfer RNA (tRNA) molecules are approximately 80 nucleotides in length. Their secondary structure includes four short double-helical elements and three loops (D, anti-codon, and T loops). Further hydrogen bonds mediate the characteristic L-shaped molecular structure. tRNAs have two regions of fundamental functional importance: the anti-codon, which is responsible for specific mRNA codon recognition, and the 3' end, to which the tRNAs corresponding amino acid is attached (by aminoacyl-tRNA synthetases). tRNAs cope with the degeneracy of the genetic code in two manners: having more than one tRNA (with a specific anti-codon) for a particular amino acid; and 'wobble' base-pairing, i.e. permitting non-standard base-pairing at the 3rd anti-codon position.
Source: Rfam by way of RNAcentral
GUGGGUAUAGCUCAGUGGUAGAGCACAUGCUUAGUUAGCAUGCACAUGAUCUUGGGUUCAAUCCCCAGUACUUCA